CAUGGCCCUAGAAGCAUUGCAGGUGUGGCUGCUCUGUCACGUGUCAGUAGGUCGCAGAGGGGAGAGAGGCUAUGCCUACACUUAGUGUUCUGACCUGUGAACAUCUGAAUGAUUAGUAACCUGACAUU
Arvicanthis niloticus (Nile rat) is the source of this 128-nucleotide small nucleolar RNA. RefSeq annotates it as small nucleolar RNA SNORA17. The record is from RefSeq and is a predicted model, not a curated record. NCBI's taxonomy places the organism in Eukaryota, Metazoa, Chordata, Mammalia, Rodentia, Muridae.